RNAcentral lists this long non-coding RNA (1463 nucleotides) under Equus caballus (horse). RNAcentral's name for it is "lncRNA (ENSECAG00000055861.1)". The record is from RNAcentral. Lineage: Eukaryota; Metazoa; Chordata; Mammalia; Perissodactyla; Equidae.
GCCCUCAGUAAAUAUUUUUUGAAUUAUUUCAUCCCAUGACUUGCUUGAGCUGUUGAGAAAAGGAGGACAUCUCUCCCGCUGUCCCAGGAACCCAGAGGAUUCAGGGGCUGGAGCUACCGUCUCGCCACCACGUGGAGAGCCUGAGACAGCCAACAGCGUGCAAGCUACAGAGAAAGGAGAGACGUUUGAUUACAUCGUGCCAGCCCUGAAUCUGGCCAUGCCUGAAGCUGGGGCUGCCCUUGGUCUUCUCAGUUGCAGGACCCACUACCUUGCAAGAACCCAGUGGCCAUGUGUGGCUAGCGGCUACUCUAUUGGACAGCACGGAUAAAGAGUAUUUCCAUCAACACAGAAAGUCCCGUUGGGCAGCACUGGCGUAGGGUAUGACCACGGGAGUUCGUGGCUCAGGUAAGAUGAUGGACAAGGUCAUUGGAGGGCAUUGGGAUAUCUACACAGGUAGUGAAAUCACCAAGAAUUGGGACAGGAGUAGUUUUGGAGAGAGUGACAGUGAGCCAGGAGCUAAAACCUGCAAGAUUUUGGGGAGGACGGGGUCAGCACUCCAAGUGUUACUGGGAGGAUAUAAAGUUUGGAAUUUUUAGUGAGGAGAUGGCAAAAUCACCUAGAAGGGCCACAAGGGACAAACAGGAGACCUACUCCACAUCUAGGGCUAUGUGUCUAGUGGACUGUGGGAAAGGGCUACAGGGAAGACCAUGUCCUCAGGUGGGAUCCAGUUUCUGUAGGAGGAAGAAGAUGAAGAGAACAUUCAAAGAAGACAGGUGAAGAUACAGGAGAUUGUGCUGAUGGCUGACCACAGGUCCCAGAGUGACAGCAAAAGGGUUUCAGGAGCCAGGGAGCACUAAGUGAUGGGCUCAUGGAAGGGGACAUGCAAAGCUGUGUAGGGACAAAGGUCCAAGACAUGAGGGAUGUCCUGUGAACCUAGGCUCUGUAGGGACUGGUGUCAACAGUGAUAAAGACACAGCGAGACUGAUCCUGAGGGCCCCCAAGCAGGAACCAGGUGAGCUGUGAGUGUUGAGGGUGAAACAGGGCUCUUUCGAGGAGCACAAAGAAUUCUGGAACAUCCUCUUCACUUCCUCUUAAGGGUCAAAGGGACCCUGAGCUUGAGCACCUCUUCGCUGCAGCCAGUGGAGGGGGAAGGCCUGAAGGGGUGGCCUUCCCCAGAGGGCACUGAGCUCCCUCUUGACUCCUUAAAUCCACAACUAGAAAUGCCUUCAAGUUGGAAUUUCCCUGGAGAAGGCAGCUACUGGAAGGAGGAGCCAAGCUCCAGGGCUCCCACACUGGAAACCUAUCUGAGUCCAAAGGCCGACUCUGUCACUUACGACUCUGCCUCCUGGGGCAAGUCUUUUCACUUCUCUGAGUCUCCACCUCCUCAUCUUCAGGCUUUACUUGUACUAUUGCCUCUGACUAGAUAUCUCCGCUCCGUUUUCCAAGCCAGGGGCAUGGUCAUG